This 28-nucleotide non-coding RNA is filed under the name Mus musculus (house mouse). The record is from RNAcentral. Lineage: Eukaryota; Metazoa; Chordata; Mammalia; Rodentia; Muridae.
UCGCUUGUGCCUGAAGAUGUUUCUUAUC